Molecule: long non-coding RNA, 620 nt
Organism: Hyla sarda
Lineage: Eukaryota; Metazoa; Chordata; Amphibia; Anura; Hylidae
Exons: 4
Source: RefSeq, a predicted model, not a curated record
AUGUGAUGUCAUAACCAUUGUCCACCAAAGAGCAGCACUGAGCAGAAAUAACACGGCUCCUGUUCAUUCUCCAUCAGUGAGGGGCCGGUGCUGGACACUGUGUAGGGACGCGGGAAUGCAAAGUCAUACACAUGACUGUGACUGAUGCACUAUCUCCAGGACAUGGAGUAGCAUUUCCGGACCUACAGCAAGACGUUGGAUGAAGGCAUAGCCCCAGAAAUAACACUGGUCCUGUUCAUCAGUGAGGGGCCGGUGCUGGACACUGUGUAGGGACGCGGGAAUGCAAAGUCAUGCACAUGACUGUGACUGAUGCACUAUCUCCAGGACAUGGAGUAGCAUUUCGGGACCUACAGCAAGACGUUGGAUGAAGGCACAGGCCUAGGAAUCAUGCACAUACACAGAAACAUUUGGCCAAAUUCUAGAGGUAACCUCCUUUAGUAUGCCCAGAGGAAGGGCCAUACAGUAGCCAUGGAUUCCCUACAGGUUUCCUCCCCUCUGGAGGUUUUUCCUGUCCUGAGUAUUAGUUACUGUCCGCUCUUUGUGAGUGAUGGGAGGUUACAAAAAUCCCCUACACAAACAUUUUAAUAAAUAAUAAAUAAAGUUCCCCUUUUUUUAAACUG